UCUUUGCAAUCUUGUUUAAGUAUCCUGAAACGGGCUUUUCAGGAUCAUAUUUUAUUAAAUUUUUUAGGAGUGAAUAGUGGCCCGUAUAGCAGGCAUUAAUAUUCCUGAU
This 109-nucleotide small RNA is filed under the name Sodalis endosymbiont of Henestaris halophilus. Its description in RNAcentral is "Alpha_RBS". It matches the Rfam family "Alpha operon ribosome binding site". Rfam says of the family: The bacterial alpha operon ribosome binding site is surrounded by this complex pseudoknotted structure. Translation of the mRNA produces 4 ribosomal protein products, one of which (S4) acts as a translational repressor by binding to the nested pseudoknot region. Lineage: Bacteria; Pseudomonadati; Pseudomonadota; Gammaproteobacteria; Enterobacterales; Bruguierivoracaceae. The record is from RNAcentral.